RNAcentral lists this unclassified non-coding RNA (208 nucleotides) under Hevea brasiliensis (rubber tree). Lineage: Eukaryota; Viridiplantae; Streptophyta; Magnoliopsida; Malpighiales; Euphorbiaceae. The record is from RNAcentral.
UGUAGGGGAUAUAGGUUUAAUUUUUGGUUUGGGAAGAUUUUAUAUGUUGUGGGGUUAUUAAUUUUAUGUGUUAUAAUUAUUGAAGUUUAUGUGUUUUAGAGUUUAUGUUUUAUAAUAAGAGAAGUUAUUAUAGGGAGAAGUUUACGUAUUGUAAUUAGAGAUUAGUUUUUAUUUGUCGUAAUUAGAGAAAGAUUGUAUAUAGUAAUGA